CGCACACGGAUGUGUAGGUGAUAGAGUGUUUACAGUAAAAUAUCUAAAUUUCGUCCUAAAAAUUUAACUUAACACUACGUCAUCAUAAUUACAGUUUGAUAAUACGCCGACGCAACAUACACUUUUUUGUAAGAAUUAUUACAGAGAAGAGAACAGUGAAGUUGUGUUCUUUUAAACUUUUCAGGGAACUAUAGUUUGGGAUGUAAAAUGUUACAGAUUAUCCUACAUCCAUGAAAAUAUACUUCUUGUUAAAAUGGGACUUGUUUCUGAUGCUGGUUUCAAUAUAUCCAUCUCAAAAUCUAGAAACGAGUUAGGUGACAAUACGACAAUUGACAGAAUUAUAGAAGAGUUUAAAAGCAAAUGGGAAGUAAAAGAAUGGACGAGACAUUUCUUUACCGAAGAUCAUUUGACAGAU
Sitophilus oryzae (rice weevil) is the source of this 415-nucleotide long non-coding RNA. RefSeq lists it as uncharacterized. The record is from RefSeq and is a predicted model, not a curated record. NCBI's taxonomy places the organism in Eukaryota, Metazoa, Arthropoda, Insecta, Coleoptera, Curculionidae. The transcript has 3 exons.